This 55-nucleotide transfer RNA is filed under the name Contracaecum osculatum B sensu Nascetti et al. (1993). RNAcentral's name for it is "tRNA-Ala". The record is from RNAcentral. Lineage: Eukaryota; Metazoa; Nematoda; Chromadorea; Rhabditida; Anisakidae.
GGGGCCAUAUUUUAUUUUAAAAUAUAUGUUUUGCACACAUAAGAUUGUAGCUCUA